AUUCCCAGUGAAAGAUUCUCAAGUAUCGGCAUUCUUUUCAGCCCGAAACGAGGUGUUUCUCUUGAAACAUAGAGCGCGCUGUGAAGCCAGUGAUUUUUCACGAGGUCGGUAUUUCAGUUAGCGCGGUUCACCAUCUAGACGUUGGAUCUGUCCUACACCUCAUGUGCGAUGCGAUUUGAAAAAGUGGCGGAAGAACGUCCGCGACGAGCGCGUUUCGUGGGAGAACCGUUGAUCGUUGCGGUGCUCUUGGUACGGCUCGCAGGAGGAGAAACGAUUUUAAAUUGCUGUCAAGUCGGGUCAUGGUCGGAUCGAUUCUCGGAGUUAGGCGCAAUUGCGCGACGUCGAUUCGUGAACAGAAGAAAUAAGGCCUUUAUUGCCAUACCGCUAAACCCGUAAUCGCUUUUCGAUUAAAACAAAAAACGCUCGCUUAGGCCUCAGCGCAUGGAGUGGAAUCGAUAACGACACUUUACUGAUAGAAACAUUAAGACAUUAUUCGUGUCGAUUACAAGAUAUCUCAGGAAUCAGUAGACCCCAUCGUUAUUCCACAAGAAAAGAAGGCGAACCAUACAGCAACUUCUCGGCCGUCGCAGGGCAGCUUCAUUAUCUGAUUUCAGAGGAACCAUUGUGAUCCCACAAUCAAUAGAAAUCUUCCAUUCAAUCAGUUCACCAGAAAGGAAUGGAAGAUGACCCCUAAAGAAGUCAGAUCUCAGAAGUUAGAUCUCUUAUACAUUGAGACGAUUUGAGAAAGUGUCAGCAUAAUAUGUAAAUGGGAAAAAGAAAUGAUGGUAGACGCGUUUCGUUAGUAAUGGAAACGUGAUCAGAGAACGCAUUGUGGGAAGUCGCUUCUUAAAGCGUAUUAACCAGUCAGCGGGAGGAAAAUAUGCCACGGUCGGAUGAUCUGUGAAUGGAUAAAUGAGUGGACAGGGCAGAUUAAAUUAUAAAACGUUCAUAGCGUAAUAGCGUGCCGCGAGUACGAGGUUAUUGUUGAAGAUGGUCAUUAGGUGGACGACGAUAAUUUUGUUAUGCAUCACGGCGAAAAAAUGCGACGAGCGUGCGACUGACUCGUAAAGACGAAAUGUAAACACGCUGGUCUAUGAUUUGUGUCUGCACCUUGCGCAAACAAUCUCGGUUAUUUUGUUGUCACUGCGGUAUUCGUGUUAAAUCUACGAAAUAAUGAUAUAAAUGCUCGUCGUUCGAAUCGACUGCCUGGGUA
This is a long non-coding RNA of Hylaeus anthracinus, 1213 nucleotides long. RefSeq lists it as uncharacterized. The record is from RefSeq and is a predicted model, not a curated record. The transcript is spliced from 3 exons. NCBI's taxonomy places the organism in Eukaryota, Metazoa, Arthropoda, Insecta, Hymenoptera, Colletidae.